AAAGUUUUAGUAUAAAAAGUAUUUCUUAUUGUCAAUAAGAGGGUUUAAAUUUUA
This 54-nucleotide transfer RNA is filed under the name Rhabdias kafunata. RNAcentral describes it as "tRNA-Asp". Lineage: Eukaryota; Metazoa; Nematoda; Chromadorea; Rhabditida; Rhabdiasidae. The record is from RNAcentral.